AAUGAUAAUUUUGCAAAGCUAUCAGAGGCACUCUAUGUUGCAGAGCAGAAGGCUAGAGAAGCUGUAGCUAUGAGAUCAAAGGUUCAAAAAGAGAUGAUGAUGAAAGAGAAGGAAAGGAAAGAGCAGGAACUGCGGGCAUUAGCUCAGAAAGCUCGUUCUGAAAGAACUGGUGCAGUGCCACCGGCAUCUGCCCCAAUCCCAUCUGAUAAGAGUGCAAUGGAUGAUGU
RNAcentral lists this unclassified non-coding RNA (227 nucleotides) under Hevea brasiliensis (rubber tree). The record is from RNAcentral. Lineage: Eukaryota; Viridiplantae; Streptophyta; Magnoliopsida; Malpighiales; Euphorbiaceae.